CGAAAGCCUGACGGAGCAAGACCGCGUGGGGGAGGAAGGCUCUAGGGUUGUAAACCCCUUUUCUUUGGGAAGAACAAAAUGACGGUACCAAAGGAAUCAGCCUCGGCUAACUCCGUGCCAGCAGCCGCGGUAAUACGGAGGAGGCAAGCGUUAUCCGGAAUUAUUGGGCGUAAAGCGUCCGCAGGUGGCGAUUCAAGUCUGCUGUCAAAGCACGGGGCUUAACUCCGUUAAGGCAGUGGAAACUGAAUAGCUAGAGUGCCGUAGGGGUAGAGUGAAUUCCCGGUGUAGCGGUGAAAUGCGUAGAGAUCGGGAAGAACAUCGGUGGCGAAAGCGCUCUGCUGGGCCGCAACUGACACUCAGGGACGAAAGCUAGGGGAGCG
RNAcentral lists this ribosomal RNA (380 nucleotides) under uncultured cyanobacterium. RNAcentral describes it as "bacterial SSU rRNA". It matches the Rfam family "Bacterial small subunit ribosomal RNA", at positions 376 to 770 of the family's 1533-position model. Lineage: Bacteria; Bacillati; Cyanobacteriota. The record is from RNAcentral.